Nycticebus coucang (slow loris) is the source of this 351-nucleotide long non-coding RNA. RefSeq lists it as uncharacterized. The transcript is spliced from 3 exons. The record is from RefSeq and is a predicted model, not a curated record. Lineage: Eukaryota; Metazoa; Chordata; Mammalia; Primates; Lorisidae.
GGGACACCGUCCCGGAAUACCGCAAGGGUUCAAAUUGCACCUCUGUCGCUUAACGACUGACUCAGAACAAAAUGCCUCACCUGCAGGAGCCACAGUCUUUCCCCAUGUGCUGCAAGAGGCCUGAUUGUGACCUGGUGACUGAGAACAGAAUGCCUAGCAAGCAAAGAUUACUAUUGCCUGAGUCCUGCCCAGGCAGAGAUAGAAAUCACUGAAGCAAGUUAGGUUAAACAAAUCAAGUAAUUGGGAGAAGACGGAUGGAUGGGAGGGGAUAUCAUAAGUAAGCGCUCUCCAAAUAACUCAAGAACAAAAACUGAGGCUUUGAAAUCUCUUCCACUCCAUCCUCUCUCUGAA